Molecule: non-coding RNA, 97 nt
Organism: Mollisiaceae sp. DMI_Dod_QoI
Lineage: Eukaryota; Fungi; Ascomycota; Leotiomycetes; Helotiales; Mollisiaceae
Source: the annotation of a GenBank genome assembly
GGUCGGGUGGUGUAGUUGGUUAUCACAUCUCGUUAACAGUUUCAAACCUGUAACACACAAACCGAGAAGGUCCUGGGAUCGAGCCCCAGCCUGAUCA